GCAGCGCCCGCCGACGUCACGGCGGACUGCGACCAAUCAGCGCCUCGCGGUCCCUCUGUAAACCAUUCUGCAUUUCCCCCCUGGCCGGGGAGAGUGCGGGGAGACCGCGUUUAGAGGAUCGGUGGCGGUGGCCCCGCGCGGUGCCGGCGAUGGCAGCGAGAUGUCCUGGCCCCUUCCAGGUUUGCAGCGUGAGGAUGACACACGUGCUGCCGUUCAGCUGUCCCCACCCAGGUUGGCUGCCACCCUUGCUGAUGGAGAGAGGCAGGAGGCUGUCUGAGAAGACAGUGCUGAUGCAGAGGCCUCCUAGUGUGAAGUGUGCAGGGACGGCCCUCAACUAGGGUUGAAGAAAGGAAGCAGAAGAAGGGGAGCCCAAGGAAAGGUGGGGCCAGUUGGGAUUUUUAGGUAACACCCGUCUGGCAUACUUCUCAUGUGUUGUAUGUUAUAAUCGCCAAAUUUCACAUUUAUUGUAGUAGCCUGCUGUGUGUAGGCCAAAUGCUCCUUGGCCAAAACGGUGUUAAAUAAAACUGUAAGAAAUGCUA
Onychomys torridus (southern grasshopper mouse) is the source of this 539-nucleotide long non-coding RNA. RefSeq lists it as uncharacterized. NCBI's taxonomy places the organism in Eukaryota, Metazoa, Chordata, Mammalia, Rodentia, Cricetidae. The transcript has 3 exons. The record is from RefSeq and is a predicted model, not a curated record.